Molecule: ribosomal RNA, 1319 nt
Filed under: metagenome
Description: bacterial LSU rRNA
Rfam family: Bacterial large subunit ribosomal RNA
Source: RNAcentral
GGAUUGGGAGUGUUCUACGGAACCCGUUUGGUGAAUCUAGUGCCGAGAAAAGCCUUCUAUGUGUUGAAUUUCUAGUACCCGUACCCCAAACCGACACAGGUGGGUGGGUAGAGCAUACCUAGGGGCGCGUGAUAACUCUCUCUAAGGAACUCGGCAAAAUGGCCCUGUAACUUCGGGAUAAGGGGUGCCUGCGUGAGCAGGCCGCAGUGAAAUGGCUCUGGCGACUGUUUACCAAAAACACAGGUCUCUGCUAAGUCGUAAGACGAUGUAUAGGGGCUGACUCCUGCCCAGUGCCGGAAGGUUAAGGAAGUUGGUUAGCGCAAGCGAAGCUGGCGACCGAAGCCCCGGUGAACGGCGGCCGUAACUAUAACGGUCCUAAGGUAGCGAAAUUCCUUGUCGGGUAAGUUCCAACCCGCACGAAAGGAGUAACGAUCAGAGCGCUGUCUCGGAGAGAGACACGGCGAAAUAGGAUUGUCCGUGAAGAUACGGACUACCUGCACCCGGACAGAAAGACCCUAUGAAGCUUUACUGUAACUUGGAAUUGUGUUCGGACUUUGUCUGCGCAGAAUAGGUGGGAGGCUAUGAAACGUUCCUCGCGGGGAACUGGAGCCAUCGUUGAGAUACCACUCUGGCAGAGUCUGGAUUCUAACCUACGGGGACAGUUCCAGGUGGGCAGUUUGACUGGGGCGGUCGCCUCCUAAAAUGUAACGGAGGCGCGCAAAGGUUCCCUCAGGCUGGUUGGAAAUCAGCCAUAGAGUGUAAAAGCAUAAGGGAGCUUGACUGUGAGACCUACAAGUCGAGCAGGGACGAAAGUCGGCUUUAGUGAUCCGACGGCACUGAGUGGAAGGGCCGUCGCUCAACGGAUAAAAGUUACUCUAAGGAUAACAGGCUGAUCUCCCCCAAGAGUUCACAUCGACGGGGAGGUUUGGCACCUCGAUGUCGGCUCGUCGCAACCUGGGGCGGUAGUACGUCCCAAGGGUUGGGCUGUUCGCCCAUUAAAGCGGCACGUGAGCUGGGUUCAGAACGUCGUGAGACAGUUCGGUCCAUAUCCGGUGUAGGCGUAGGAGCAUUGAAAGGAUCUCUCCUUAGUACGAGAGGACCGGGAGGGACGUACCUCUGGUGUACCUGUUAUCGUGCCAACGGUAAACGCAGGGUAGCCAUGUACGGAGUGGAUAACCGCUGAAAGCAUCUAAGUGGGAAGCCCACCUUAAGAUGAGUGCUCCCUUGAGGCCACGGGAAGACGACCCGUUUGAUAGGCGCUAGGUGGAAGUGCAGUAAUGCAUGCAGCCGAGGCGUACUAAUAGGCCGAUGGCUUGUCC